RNAcentral lists this ribosomal RNA (451 nucleotides) under uncultured bacterium. RNAcentral describes it as "partial 16S ribosomal RNA". It matches the Rfam family "Bacterial small subunit ribosomal RNA", at positions 354 to 796 of the family's 1533-position model. The record is from RNAcentral.
GUGGGGAAUAUUGCGCAAUGGGGGAAACCCUGACGCAGCGACGCCGCGUGAGCGAAGAAGGCCUUAGGGUUGUAAAGCUCUGUUUUAAGGGACGAAUGUCGUGGGGAGUAAUAUGCUCUGCGAAUGACGGUACCUUAAGAGGAAGCCCCGGCUAACUACGUGCCAGCAGCCGCGGUAAGACGUAGGGGGCGAGCGUUGUCCGGAAUUACUGGGCGUAAAGAGCACGUAGGCGGGAACUUAAGUCAGGUGUGAAAGACCGGGGCUCAACUCCGGGGUUGCACUUGAAACUGGGUUUCUUGAGGGCAGGAGAGGAAAGCAGAAUUCCUGGUGUAGCGGUGAAAUGCGUAGAAAUCAGGAGGAAUACCAGUGGCGAAGGCGGCUUUCUGGACUGACCCUGACGCUGAGGUGCGAAAGCGUGGGUAGCAAACAGGAUUAGAUACCCCUGUAGUCC